UGCGUAAAAGCCCCGGAACCAGGCGCCCGCCGGAGGAACCAACCAAACUCUUUCUGUAGUCCCCUCGCGGACGUAUUUCUUACAGCUCUGAGCAAAAAUUCAAAAUGAAUCAAAACUUUCAACAACGGAUCUCUUGGUUCUGGCAUCGAUGAAGAACGCAGCGAAAUGCGAUAAGUAAUGUGAAUUGCAGAAUUCAGUGAAUCAUCGAAUCUUUGAACGCACAUUGCGCCCGCCAGUAUUCUGGCGGGCAUGCCUGUCCGAGCGUCAUUUCAACCCUCGAACCCCUCCGGGGGAUCGGCGUUGGGGAUCGGGACCCCUCACCGGGUGCCGGCCCUGAAAUACAGUGGCGGUCUCGCCGCAGCCUCUCCUGCGCAGUAGUUUGCACAACUCGCACCGGGAGCGCGGCGCGUCCACGUCCGUAAAACACCCAACUUCUGAAAUGUUGACCUCGGAUCAGGUAGGAAUACCCGCUGAACUUAAGCAUAUCAAAAACGGCGAGAGGAAA
RNAcentral lists this ribosomal RNA (505 nucleotides) under Trichoderma hamatum. Its description in RNAcentral is "eukaryotic LSU rRNA". The stretch from base 114 to 267 matches the Rfam family "5.8S ribosomal RNA". The record is from RNAcentral. Lineage: Eukaryota; Fungi; Ascomycota; Sordariomycetes; Hypocreales; Hypocreaceae.